Molecule: ribosomal RNA, 274 nt
Filed under: uncultured bacterium
Lineage: Bacteria
Description: partial 16S ribosomal RNA
Rfam family: Bacterial small subunit ribosomal RNA
Source: RNAcentral
AUACGGAGGGUGCAAGCGUUAAUCGGAAUUACUGGGCGUAAAGCGCGCGUAGGCGGCUAAGUAAGUCGGAUGUGAAAGCCCUGGGCUUAACCUGGGAAUUGCAUUCGAUACUGCUUGGCUAGAGUAUGGUAGAGGAUAGUGGAAUUCCUGGUGUAGCGGUGAAAUGCGUAGAUAUCAGGAGGAACAUCAGUGGCGAAUGCGGCUAUCUGGACCAAUACUGACGCUAAGGUGCGAAAGCGUGGGGAGCAAACAGGAUUAGAAACCCUUGUAGUCC